This 458-nucleotide ribosomal RNA is filed under the name uncultured bacterium. RNAcentral describes it as "partial 16S ribosomal RNA". It matches the Rfam family "Bacterial small subunit ribosomal RNA", at positions 338 to 795 of the family's 1533-position model. The record is from RNAcentral.
CCUACGGGAGGCAGCAGUGGGGAAUAUUGCACAAUGGGGGAAACCCUGAUGCAGCGACGCCGCGUGAGUGAAGAAGUAAUUCGUUACGUAAAGCUCUAUCAGCAGGGAAGAAAUACUGACCUUACGGUCAGCAGACGGUACCUGAGUAAGAAGCCCCGGCUAACUACGUGCCAGCAGCCGCGGUAAUACGUAGGGGGCAAGCGUUAUCCGGAUUUACUGGGUGUAAAGGGAGCGUAGACGGUGCGCCAAGUCUGGAGUGAAAUGCCCCAGCUUAACGGCGGAACUGCUUUGGAAACUGGCGAACUAGAGUGCGGGAGGGGUAAGCAGAAUUCCUAGUGUAGCGGUGAAAUGCGUAGAUAUUAGGAGGAACACCGGUGGCGAAGGCGGCUUACUGGACCGUAACUGACGUUGAGGCUCGAAAGCGUGGGGAGCAAACAGGAUUAGAUACCCUAGUAGUC